Molecule: ribosomal RNA, 884 nt
Filed under: uncultured eukaryote
Lineage: Eukaryota
Description: SSU rRNA
Rfam family: Eukaryotic small subunit ribosomal RNA
Source: RNAcentral
CAGCAGCCGCGGUAAUUCCAGCUCCAAUAGCGUAUACUAAAGUUGUUGCGGUUAAAAAGCUCGUAGUUGGAUCUUGGAAUGUGUUCAAGCGGGUCAGCUUCUGGCUGUGCGCUGCUUGACGUGUUCUUCUAUUUGGUUUUGGUGCGGUGCGCUUAACUGCGUGUCGCUCCCGGCCGAAACGUUUACCUUGAAAAAAUUAGAGUGUUCAAAGCAGACCUGUUUGAGUCUGAAUAUUCGUGCAUGGAAUAAUGAAAUAUGAAUUCGGUUCUAUUUUGUUGGUUUUCGGAACUCGAGUUAAUGAUCAAGAGGGACAGACGGGGGCAUUCGUACUCUGCCGUUAGAGGUGAAAUUCUUGGAUCGGCGGAAGACGCGCAACUGCGAAAGCAUUUGCCAAGAAUGUUUUCUUUAAUCAAGAACGAUAGUCGGAGGUUCGAAGACGAUCAGAUACCGUCCUAGUUUCGACUGUAAACUAUGCCAGCUAACGAUCAGACAGAGUUCUCUACGACUUGUCUGGCAGUUUCCGGGAAACCAAAGCGUUUGGGUUCCGGGGGAAGUAUGGUUGCAAAGCUGAAACUUAAAGGAAUUGACGGAAGGGCACCACCAGGAGUGGAGCCUGCGGCUUAAUUUGACUCAACACGGGGAAACUCACCCGGCCCGGACACAGUGAGGAUUGACAGAUUGAGAGUUCUUUCUUGAUUCUGUGGGUGGUGGUGCAUGGCCGUUCUUAGUUGGUGGAGCGAUUUGUCUGGUUAAUUCCGAUAACGAACGAGACUCUGGCAUGUUAAAUAGUCGCGGAAGUGCGUAUGCACUUGCCGAAUUGACUUCUUAGAGGGACUAGUGAUUUUAAUUCACACGAGAUUGACGCAAUAACAGGUCUGUGAUGC